AAGACACUAGUAAAAUAAGUUUAUAACACUGCUUUGUCAGGGCAGAAUUGCGGGUUGAACCCCCGCGUGUCUUA
This 74-nucleotide transfer RNA is filed under the name Scopelogadus mizolepis. Its description in RNAcentral is "tRNA-Asp". It matches the Rfam family "tRNA". Rfam says of the family: Transfer RNA (tRNA) molecules are approximately 80 nucleotides in length. Their secondary structure includes four short double-helical elements and three loops (D, anti-codon, and T loops). Lineage: Eukaryota; Metazoa; Chordata; Actinopteri; Beryciformes; Melamphaidae. The record is from RNAcentral.